UGGGGAAUAUUGGACAAUGGGGGAAACCCUGAUCCAGCAAUGCCGCGUGAAUGAAGAAGGCCUUUGGGUCGUAAAGUUCUUUUACUCGUGAAGAUGAUGACGGUAACGAGAGAAAAAGCCCCGGCUAACUCUGUGCCAGCAGCCGCGGUAAUACAGAGGGGGCUAGCGUUGUUCGGAAUAACUGGGCGUAAAGGGUGCGUAGGUGGUUUUUUAAGUGAGAUGUUAAAUACCCAGGCUUAACCUGGGACAAGCGUCUCAAACUGGAAGACUAGAGUAUGGUAGAGGAAAGUGGAAUUCCUAGUGUAGAGGUGAAAUUCGUAGAUAUUAGGAGGAACACCAGAGGCGAAGGCGACUUUCUGGGCCAUUACUGACACUGAGGCACGAAAGCGUGGGGAGCAAACAGG
This 404-nucleotide ribosomal RNA is filed under the name uncultured bacterium. Its description in RNAcentral is "bacterial SSU rRNA". It matches the Rfam family "Bacterial small subunit ribosomal RNA", at positions 355 to 776 of the family's 1533-position model. The record is from RNAcentral.